Molecule: ribosomal RNA, 330 nt
Filed under: uncultured eukaryote
Lineage: Eukaryota
Description: partial 18S ribosomal RNA
Rfam family: Eukaryotic small subunit ribosomal RNA
Source: RNAcentral
CCCUUAGAUGUUCGGGGCCGCACGCGCGCUACACUGAAGGAAUCAGCACGUCAUUCUCCUUGUCCGAAAGGACUGGGUAACCCGCUGAACCUCCUUCGUGCUAGGGAUUGGGGCUUGUAAUUCUUCCCCAUGAACGAGGAAUUCCCAGUAAGCGCGAGUCAUAAGCUCGCGUUGAUUACGUCCCUGCCCUUUGUACACACCGCCCGUCGCUACUACCGAUUGGAUGGUUUAGUGAGAUCCUCGGAUUGGUCCCGGAGCGGCCUCUGGUCGUGCCGGAGUGCCGAAAAGAAUGUCGAACUUGAUCAUCUAGAGGAAGUAAAAGUCGUAACA